RNAcentral lists this small RNA (28 nucleotides) under Bombyx mori (domestic silkworm). RNAcentral's name for it is "ovarian small RNA-37353". The record is from RNAcentral. Lineage: Eukaryota; Metazoa; Arthropoda; Insecta; Lepidoptera; Bombycidae.
UUCCUUGGAGGAAGCGAUAGGUGCGGUC